This 81-nucleotide transfer RNA is filed under the name Ipomoea nil (Japanese morning glory). It matches the Rfam family "tRNA". From Rfam's summary of the family: Transfer RNA (tRNA) molecules are approximately 80 nucleotides in length. Their secondary structure includes four short double-helical elements and three loops (D, anti-codon, and T loops). Lineage: Eukaryota; Viridiplantae; Streptophyta; Magnoliopsida; Solanales; Convolvulaceae. The record is from Rfam by way of RNAcentral.
GUCAAGAUAGUUGAGUUUGUUAUAAGUGCAAGGUUUAGUUAUUGGUUUAAAAGGGCAUGGUUUCAAAUCCCAUUCUUGACA